RNAcentral lists this ribosomal RNA (253 nucleotides) under uncultured bacterium. Its description in RNAcentral is "partial 16S ribosomal RNA". It matches the Rfam family "Bacterial small subunit ribosomal RNA", at positions 524 to 776 of the family's 1533-position model. The record is from RNAcentral.
UACAGAGGGUGCAAACGUUGUUCGGAUUUACUGGGCGUAAAGCGCGUGUAGGCGGCUUGGCAAGUUGGAUGUGAAAGCCCACGGCUCAACCGUGGAAGCGCAUCCAAAACUGCCUCGCUCGAGUCUCGGAGAGGAAGGUGGAAUGCUUGGUGUAGAGGUGAAAUUCGUAGAUAUCAAGCAGAACACCUGCGGCGAAGGCGGCCUUCUGGACGAUGACUGACGCUGAGACGCGAAAGCGUGGGGAGCAAACAGG